RNAcentral lists this ribosomal RNA (195 nucleotides) under uncultured bacterium. RNAcentral describes it as "partial 16S ribosomal RNA". It matches the Rfam family "Bacterial small subunit ribosomal RNA", at positions 338 to 524 of the family's 1533-position model. The record is from RNAcentral.
CCUACGGGAGGCAGCAGUCGAGAGGCUUUGGCAAUGGGGGAAACCCUGACCAAGCGACGCCGCGUGGGCGAUGAAGGCCUUACGGUUGUAAAGCCCUGUCAUGGGGGAAGAAAAAGCGGUGGGUGAAUAGCCCAUGGCUCUGACGGUACCCCAGAAGGAAGCUCCGGCUAACCCCGUGCCAGCAGCCGCGGUAAU